Cydia pomonella (codling moth) is the source of this 3122-nucleotide long non-coding RNA. RefSeq lists it as uncharacterized. The record is from RefSeq and is a predicted model, not a curated record. Lineage: Eukaryota; Metazoa; Arthropoda; Insecta; Lepidoptera; Tortricidae. The transcript has 2 exons.
UUGACAACCGGCAUCAUGAACGGGAUAGCAAUAUAAUUAUGCAAGUGCAAUAGAGACGUCAAUAGGUGGGUCAAUGUACGAAAAUCUAUAAUUUAUAAAAUAUAUCUUUAAAUCGUCUUUGCCUUACCAAGUUAAUUCAAUACAUAUUAAAAGAUUAUAAGAUUAUGGUUAGCAUCGACUUGCGCCAUAUUGAGCAUUUAGGCUAACUUCUGUUAGAAGUACAACUUAACUUUAAACAAAUUUUGUAAUUUUUGGCACGUGGGCGGAUAUCGGAGGAUCUUGAGGAAGCGAGUGCUUCAUAUCGAGUAUAUUAGGAAAGUGAAAUAAAUAAAAGCUUAAUUCACUAGCCUGGAGCCCCUACUAAUUGAGGACAGCGCCACCUAUGGGCUGUAUUGGAAACUAUGUACCUUAUUAGAUGCGUAUUGAUUAUCGAUUUAUUGACAAGCCAUCUAGGGUUCGAGUAGGUAACUUCACAAGUUAACAGUAAAGCAUCCUCUGUUCAGUACCCCUAGUGUAACUUUGAUCGACAUCAUAACGUGACGAACGCGUUUGCGUUAAGUCUCAUUUUGUAUAGGAUUUUGAGUUUCCAAAACGUCCCGCUUGGCGCGCUCUUUCGAAAUCCAAUACAAAAUGAGACUAAACGCAAACGCGUACGUCACUUUGGAAAUCGAAUUUAUUUACACUAGGGGUACUGAAGGCAACAUUAAAUUAACUUGAAUGUUAACCGCCACGUCCACCCUGGAACGCUUUUUAAUUCAGCGGAUACAUUUAAGUAUAAACCCUUAAUCUGAAAGGAUUACAUUUCAGAAAAAAAAGCACCAUUACUGUAAUUUUCCGCUGCAAAUAUUUCCAUCGAGUUUAUACAAAAUUCAGAUGAAAGAAAACGCUUAAACGAGCAUUGAAAUUUUAAACCGAGACGUUUAGCCUCUUGCUGUUAAGGAAACCAUCGCCUUAGGGAGCGCAAGUUGUUAAGGUGCUUUUCUAUUCUCGAGCGAGGACUGGAUUGAGUUUUUAUUCAAUCGGUGAUGAAACAAAUGACUGCUUCUGUUCACUUCGCUUAUCCUGAUCCCUCUUUCAAAUUUAUAUUUAAAAGCAUGACAUAAUCAGAUAAUAUACCAGGUUUUGCUGACAGACUGCUCAGACCUAUACUUAGUCAGGUUCAUUUUGUUAAAUCUGACCAGUUUCUGAGAGAUAGUUUUAUGCAUUCAUUUAUACAAUAGAUAUAAACAGACGUAUUAAUAGACGUAUCUAAAUACUUACCUCUAAAAUAGCCCCUUGAGGCAUCGUAUCAAGGAUUCUGGCGGUGUUUCCCCGUUGUAUCGCAAUGCUGAUACGUUGUGCGAGGAAACUGCCAGCUCUUCGGUCACCAGUUACGUCAACUAUUCCUUUCGCUAUUUGAGGGUUGUUUCCAUAGUAAAAAUUGUUCAUAUAUUUCUAUCUAUUUCACAGAACAUGGGCAGCCAUAAUAAAAUUACUCUUAUUUAUUCUUAAAACAAAAAACUAAGUAAUUUUUUUAACAAGCAGAAACGUAUGCGAACGAUGCUAUUAAGCUUAGAAUAAAUUUAAAAACGGACAAAUUACUGCCUUGGGUGAAACUUGAACUCACGGCCUCUGGAUCGAUACUCUAGCGCUCUGACAUCUGAGCCACCAAGACCUCAUUUAAAAUUUGGUAUUGAUUUUAAAUUUAUUCUAAGCUUAAUAAACUAAGUAUUUAUUUAAAAAGAACAACAAUCUCAACUUCAGACAUUGAACCUAAAUGUAUUCAGACAUUGUACCUAGUCUAAAGUCUUAUUGGUGCUAACCCGGCAGAAUUUUGAUACUUGAUAACAUCAAACUUAUCGUUAACCCGCAUUACACCAAGAUUUAUUACCUCAUCUCAGCCUUCUCCAUGCACUCUCAUUCCUCCAUAGAUUAACCAAGACCAAGUCGUCUAAAAGCGGUAGACUAAUGAUAGCUGUCCACACUCGAUCCUCGGCUCAUCGUCAUUAAUAGCCGCGGUCCGUAAUAAAUGUGCGUCUAAGUAACGGCGCGAACAACGCUAUAACGACGCUGUUAUGACAUCGUGAAAAAUUACAACAACUUUAUUGGCUUUCUUUGGUCCUACUUUGAAUAUGAAUGUCAUGAAAGGAAAUCAUGAUCUUAUACAUAAAUCUUCUUUUUUUAAUGUAGCAUGUUCCAUGAGUGUAUUCUCAUUUGUCCUUACCGAGCACAGAUGGGACUAUUCCCAUGUGCAAUCAUAUCAAUAAUUCCCAUCUAUUCCCGCCUAAUGAAUGGUGACGGUCACGUGGGCAGAGUACAAAUGGGAAUACACUAUUUAUUUAUUUAAUAGUACAAAAGGCGGACUUAAUGCCACGAGUCAUUCUCUACUAGUCAACCUUAAGGCUAAGCAGAGAGAUUGUGAGCGGUGCUACAAUUACAACACCAAAGGCAUAUCAAACAAAAAUACAUAUAAUAACAUAUAUAUACAAAUAUAAUAUACACAUUCACUAUAUAUUAAAUAAUAAAGACGAUACAUAUGAAGCUAAUAAAUAUGCAUUGAUUCCAUACUAUUCCAUGUGAUAAAUCAAAUAAAUAUUACAGGGACAUUCUUACCCAAAACGUCCCACUCAGACAACGAUAUAUAUAAUUAUAUUUGUUUUAAUACUACGUCGGUGGCAAAAAAGCAUACGGCCCGCCUGAUGGUUAACGUUUACUGUAGCCUAUGGACGCUUGCAACUCUAGAGGAGUCACAUGCGCGUUGCCGACCCUAAGACCCCCGCACCCUCGUUGAGCUUUGGCAACCUUACUCACCGGCAGGAACACAACACUAUGAGUAGGGUCUAGUGUUAUUUGACUGCGGUUUUCGGUAAGGUGGAAGUGCUUCCCCAGUUGGGGAAAAAUAAACAAAUUUUUUAAAUUAAAUUUUUGUCUGCUCUUGCUUUGCCACUUCUAACCCUCUGGGUGUAGCCCUCAGGAGAUCUUCCUCAGUGCACAUCGUUGAGCACAAGGAACAUUCGAUCAUGUGUUUUGUUAUUUGGAGGACUCCACACUCGCAGAAAGUAUCACCUUGUCGGCCAAUACCCCAUCUCAGAGGGUUAUCUUUUGACCGACCAACUCCCGUUCUAAGUCUGUUAAGGGCUUUC